GACGAACGCUGGCGGCGUGCUUAACACAUGCAAGUCGAACGGAAAGGCCCUGCUUUUGUGGGGUGCUCGAGUGGCGAACGGGUGAGUAACACGUGAGUAACCUGCCCUUGACUUUGGGAUAACUUCAGGAAACUGGGGCUAAUACCGGAUAGGAGCUCCUGCUGCAUGGUGGGGGUUGGAAAGUUUCGGCGGUUGGGGAUGGACUCGCGGCUUAUCAGCUUGUUGGUGGGGUAGUGGCUUACCAAGGCUUUGACGGGGAGCCGGCCUGAGAGGGUGACCGGCCACAUUGGGACUGAGAUACGGCCCAGACUCCUUCGGGAGGCAGCAGUGGGGGAUAGUGCACGAUGGGCGGAGGCCUGAUGCAGCAACGCCGCGUGCGGGAUGACGGCCUUCGGGUUGGAAACCGCUUUCGCCUGUGACGAAGCGUGAGUGACGGUAAUGGGUAAGGAAGCACCGGCUAACUACGUG
Molecule: ribosomal RNA, 468 nt
Filed under: uncultured bacterium
Lineage: Bacteria
Description: partial 16S ribosomal RNA
Rfam family: Bacterial small subunit ribosomal RNA
Source: RNAcentral